ACAUGCAGUCGAGCGACGCGCCUUCGGGUGACGGAGCGGCGAACGGGUGAGUAACACGUGGGCAACCUGCCCUCAGCUCUGGGAUAACUCCGGGAACCGGGGCUAAUACCGGAUAUGACCUUUCAUCUCAUGGUGUUUGGGUGGGAAAAGUUUUUUCGGCCUGGAGGAUGGGGCCCGCGGCCCUAUCAGCUUUGUUUGGGUGGGGGUAAUGGGCCCUACCAAGGGCGACGACGGGUAGCCCGGCCCUGGAAAGGGCCACCCGGCCCACACCUGGGGAACUGAAACCACGGCCCAAACUCCUUACGGGAGGGCACCCGUGGGGGAAUUUUUGGCGCAAUUGGGCAAAAGCCUGACGCAACGACGCCCCGUGAAGGAUGAAGGCCUCGGGUUGUAAACUCUCUCCGCGGGACACGAAGUGCCGGUACUGCAAAAGA
Molecule: ribosomal RNA, 434 nt
Filed under: uncultured bacterium
Lineage: Bacteria
Description: bacterial SSU rRNA
Rfam family: Bacterial small subunit ribosomal RNA
Source: RNAcentral